This 23-nucleotide small nuclear RNA is filed under the name Arabidopsis thaliana (thale cress). RNAcentral describes it as "snRNA_18348". The record is from RNAcentral. Lineage: Eukaryota; Viridiplantae; Streptophyta; Magnoliopsida; Brassicales; Brassicaceae.
UUGGAUAUAUGCUUUAUCUUCUU